CCUACGGGGGGCUGCAGUAAGGAAUAUUGCGCAAUGGGCGACAGCCUGACGCAGCGACGCCGCGUGGGGGAUGAAGGUCUUCGGAUUGUAAACCCCUUUCGGCAGGGAAGAUGGAACGGGUAACCGUUCGGACGGUACCUGCAGAAGCAGCCACGGCUAACUUCGUGCCAGCAGCCGCGGUAAUACGAAGGUGGCAAGCGUUGUUCGGAUUGGCUGGGAGUACACGGAGGCGGGGCGGUAAGGUAAGCCCGAAAUCUCCGGGCCUAACCCGGAAAGUGCGGAGGGGACUGCUCGGCUAGAGGAUGGGAGAGGAGCGCGGAAUUCCCGGUGUAGCGGUGAAAUGCGUAGAGAUCGGGAGGAAGGCCGGUGGCGAAGGCGGCGCUCUGGAACAUUUCUGACGCUGAGGCUCGAAAGCGUGGGGAGCAAACAGGAUUAGAUACCCCAGUAGUC
This 450-nucleotide ribosomal RNA is filed under the name uncultured bacterium. RNAcentral describes it as "partial 16S ribosomal RNA". It matches the Rfam family "Bacterial small subunit ribosomal RNA", at positions 338 to 795 of the family's 1533-position model. The record is from RNAcentral.